This 523-nucleotide ribosomal RNA is filed under the name uncultured bacterium. Its description in RNAcentral is "bacterial SSU rRNA". It matches the Rfam family "Bacterial small subunit ribosomal RNA", at positions 355 to 891 of the family's 1533-position model. The record is from RNAcentral.
UGAGGAAUCUUGCGCAAUGGGGGAAACCCUGACGCAGCGACGCCGCGUGCGGGAAGAAGGCCUUCGGGUCGUAAACCGCUUUUCUGUGGGACGAGGAAGGACGGUACCACAGGAAUAAGUCCCGGCUAACUACGUGCCAGCAGCCGCGGUAAAACGUAGGGGGCGAGCGUUAUCCGGAAUCACUGGGCGUAAAGGGCGUCUAGGCGGCACGUCAAGUCUUGCGUGAAAUCUCCUGGCUCAACUAGGAGAGUGCGUGGGAAACUAGCGAGCUAGAGACGUGGAGGGGUGCACGGAAUUCCCGGUGGAGUGGUGGAAUGCGUUGAGAUCGGGAGGAACACCAGAAGCGAAGGCGGUGCACUGGCCACGGGACUGACGCUGAAGCGCGACAGCGUGGGGAGCGAACGGGAUUAGAUACCCCGGUAGUCCACGCCGUAAACGAUGACGACUAGGUGUGUGUAACCGAAGGGUUAUGCGUACCGCAGCAAACGCGAUAAGUCGUCCGCCGUGGGGAGUACGGCCGCAA